GCUAAAUAGGAAAAGAUAAAGGUUGUGAAAGCAGAGUUUUGAAAGAAACUUCAGAAAAUGUUUAAGAAGUUUGGAGAAUACACAGAUCCACAACGGAUAUAAAAGAAUCAGGAAAACCACAAAUGGUAGGGUACAAUACGAACCCCAAAUAGUGAGAAAGGCUUAGAAAGUCAUGAUUUAAGCAGGAGACAUCAAGACCACACUUAAACACCCAUGAUUGGCCGUAGCAAGGUCGGAGACAACCAAAGAACUCGAAUCAAAGAAUGUCUGGGCCAAACCUCUUCAAGGUUUGACCUUGAAAUCAUGGUAAUCAAGUGUGUAGGUGGCACAUGAGGUAGAUACAUGCCAUCAAUGGCUAUGGAAGCCAUGUAUUUUAUCAAUUUUAGGUGGUGAUUGAAGGUUGCGGCUAUGGUUUCUGAGAUAGGUUGAGAGAGAAUUGGGAGAUGGGGGAAUCAAGGGUCG
Molecule: long non-coding RNA, 462 nt
Filed under: Nicotiana benthamiana
Lineage: Eukaryota; Viridiplantae; Streptophyta; Magnoliopsida; Solanales; Solanaceae
Description: long non-coding RNA (NBEN_LNC002961)
Source: RNAcentral